GACCUCAAAUCAGGUAGGACUACCCGCUGAACUUAAGCAUAUCAAUAAGCGGAGGAAAAGAAACUACAGGAUUCCCCUAGUAACUGCGAGUGAAGCGGGAAAAGCUCAAAUUUGAAAUCUGGCAGUUCUUGCAGCUGUCCGAGUUGUAAUUUAGAGAAGUGUUACCCGCGCUGGACCGUAUAUAAGUCCUUUGGAAUGAGGCGUCAUAGAGGGUGAGAAUCCCGUCUUUGAUACGGACUACCAGUGCUUUGUGGUAUGCUCUCAAAGAGUCGAGUUGUUUGGGAAUGCAGCUCAAAAUGGGUGGUAAAUUCCAUCUAAAGCUAAAUAUAGGCGAGAGACCGAUAGCGAACAAGUACCGUGAGGGAAAGAUGAAAAGAACUUUGGAAAGAGAGUUAAACAGUACGUGAAAUUGCUGAAAGGGAAACGCUUGAAGUCAGUCGCAUUGGUUGAGAAUCAGCCUUGCUUUUGCUUGGUGUACUUCUUAGCUGAUGGGUCAGCAUCAGUUUUGACUGUUGGAUAAAGUUCAAGGGAAUGUGGCAUCUUCGGGUGUGUUAUAGCCUUUGUUCGUAUACAGCAGUUGGGACUGAGGAACUCAGCACGCCGAAAGGCCGGGUUUUUAACCACGUACGUGCUUAGGAUGCUGGCAUAAUGGCUUUAAUCGACCCGUCUUGGAAACCCCGGA
This 682-nucleotide ribosomal RNA is filed under the name uncultured Tricholomataceae. Its description in RNAcentral is "eukaryotic LSU rRNA". It matches the Rfam family "Eukaryotic large subunit ribosomal RNA", at positions 1 to 665 of the family's 3401-position model. Lineage: Eukaryota; Fungi; Basidiomycota; Agaricomycetes; Agaricales; Tricholomataceae. The record is from RNAcentral.